GAUGGGUGAAACAGGUGAUGGGGACCAGGGAGGGCACCUGUCAUGAUGAGCUCUGGGUGAGGUAUGGAAGGGUUGAAUCACUAUAUUGCAUGCCUGAAACUAAUGUCACAGUGGAUGUUGACUAACUGGAAUUUCGAGAAAAGGAAGAAAAAGUGACCUUGGAUUUGACAGCACGGAGCUCACAGAUGUUUUAAAUUUUUUUUAACGUUUAUUUAUUUUUUGAGACAGAGAGAGAGACAGAGACAGAGUGCAAGCAGGGGGAGGGGCAGAGAGAGAGGGAGACACAGAAUCCGAAGCGGGCUCCAGGCUCCGAGCUGUCAGCACAGAGCCCGACGCGGGGCUCGAACUCAUGGACUGCGAGAUCAUGACCUGUGCCGAAGUCGGGGUGCUUAACUGACGAAGCCACCCAGACACCCCAUGGGUGCUUUAUAGGAGUGGUUCUGUGGGUGUGAUGGUGAGAAGUCAGACCGCAACGUUCAAGGAAUGAAUUAGAGAUGGGAAAACUGAGGCACAAAGAGGCUGAGCAAACUGCCUACUGACACACAGCCAACCCAGGAGCGGCUCUGCUUUGUUUCCCCAGCAGGCGUCCAAAGUAGAAGGAUGCGUUCCAGGAGGUGGUGGAGCUUGCGACUGACCAGAGUCAAAAGUUCGCGGUGUUCUGAGAAUUCAAACAGGAGAGGAGAAUACGCCCUGCUUCCUCAAUAUCCUCUCGACUCCCUCCCGACUCUAUUUUGGGUGACUCUCCAAGCCAUGCUUACUCCCUUCAGAAUCUCCUUUCACAGCCAUAACCAUUAACAAGUCCAUGAGGAAAAACAUCUCUUCUGAUGGGGAAGAGGAAAAGGGCCAGUGACAGCCAGAUUCUGACCCGGGACCCAAAGAGCCCAUAAUGGAUGAGACCCGACAGCGGUCUGAGUCUUGAGCACAGGCUGCGUGUCGUGUUCUUAGAAGGUUCUGAACUGAUGCUGAGGUAGUAAAGAGGAAAUGGGGAAGUCAAGAGAUGCGGAGAAGAUCGGGUUGACCAGUUGGCUGUGGAGAAAGAAGGAGAAGGACGGUGCCCUAACAUCUGGCUUGGCGUUGGGCUGGCGCACAGUGGGAGUAGCAGUGUCCUUGAUUUGCUAUUUUUGAAAUCCAAAGCAAAAGGAUCCCUUCUGGAAUUGAUAACUCCCAACCACUGGGUUCCAGUCUCUCCGCCUUGAAAGGAAUUCUCCUUACGUGACCCUGGUUAUACAACUGGUGUGGGAUAGACAUCCCGCCGAAGUGUCCCUGGAAGACCUCCCCGUAAUGAAAGUCAUUUCUAUUCUGACCCCACAGCGUCUUCGGCUUGACUUCUCGUCUUCCCCAACCACACGUCGGGGUUGGAACCAUCUGACUCCAACUCCAUUCUUGCCUUUGGCUGUGCUACGUCUUUCUUUCCGCGUAACAAGCUCCCAGUCACAUUUCAAGAGCCUGCUUACUUUCUGAACCCUACAGAAACCUUUCUGCCCCAUCUCAGGCAGAAUUAUUUACUCUUUUCUCUGCCAUCUUCCUAGAUUUUGCAAAGGUCUCCUCUGCUAAUCAAAGGGGAAGAAUUCUUUACUUUUCAUCUCAAUAUUUGCUGAGUUUAUAAAUAAGCACUCGGUAAAUAUUGAAGACAUAAGCAAACAAAUGAAUGUCUGAAAUGCGUAAAUUAGUCCUUGUCUUCAACGGCUUAUUUUGCUACUUAGAAAUAGCAAAGGGUUAGUAGAGCCAUGAAAUGAAGGCUUCUAGCACUUGGCUAUUUGUCUGGAAUGCCUCCGUCACCACUUGCCAGCUGUCAGGGGAAAUCACAUCACCUUUGAACCUGAGUGCGUUUCCUCCGCUGUAAAUCGGGGUGGAUGACACCCAACCAGGGGUGACAUCGUUGUGAAGGUUCAGCUGGUAAGCGUGUGCAGGGUGCAUGGCGCCAUGCAUCAAUACUGGGUAUCUGUCAGGAAGUGGUAGAUGGUGGCGGUGGUGACAGAGAGAUAGUUGCAUGAUUUUCUUCUGUGAAGGGGUUCUCUCUUAAAAGAAUGGUUAUCGUAGGUUGAAACCUAUCUCUCAAAGAUAUACGUUGAGGUCCUAACCCCUCAAAUGUGUGACUGUGACCUUAUUUGGAAACAGGGUCUUACAGAUAUUGUCAAAUUAAGAUGAGGUUAUCCUCCCCUAUGGUGGGCCCUAAUCCAAUAAUUGGUGUCCUUGUAAGGAAAGUGGAUUUUGUUUCUUUUGUUUCGUUUCUUCAGCUCUAUUGAGGUGUAACUGACAAAUAAAACUGUAUGUAUUUAAAAUAUAUAAGAUAGAGGGGCGCCUGGGUGGCUCAGUCAGUCCAACAUCUGACUCUCAGUUUUGGCCCAGGUCAUGAUCUCAGGGUUGUGGGAUCGAGUCCCGCUCAGCAUGGAGCCUGCUUGGGAUUCUCUCUCUCUCCCUCUGCUCCUCUCCCCUGUUCUCUCUCACUCUCUUCCAAAUAAAUAAAUAAAUAGAGUGAAAAAUCCCUGCUUUGUUCAAGUCCUGUUGCUAGUACUCUGUGCCAUCGCUCAGACUUCUUGUCUAAAUAAAAAUAAAAUAUAUAAUAUGGUGAUUUGAUAUCUGUUAUACUUUGUAAAAUAUUUACCACAAUUCAGUUAAUUAACACAUCCAUCACCUCACAGAAUUACUGUGUGUGUGUGUGUGUGUGUGUGUGUGUGUGUGUGAAUACUUAAGUCCUACUCUUAGCGAAGUUCAAGUAUGCAAUAUAGUAUUAUUAACUAGGGUCACUAGGCCAUGCCUUAGAUUCCCCAGAGCUCAUUCAUCUUGUAACUGAAGACUUGUACCAACAUCUCCCCCAUCUACCCCCUGGCCCCAGGGCCUGGUAACUACCAUUCUACUCUAUCUAUGAAUUCAGGCUCCCCCUUUCCCAAAAAAGUUCACAUAUAAGUGAGAUCACACAGUAUUUGUCUUUGUCUAUCUGGUUAAUUUCUCUUAGCGUAAUGCCCUCAAGUCAAGGUCUAUCCAUGUUGCUGCAAAUGGAAAGUUUCCUUCCUUUCUCAUGGCUGGGUAGUAUUUCAGUGUGUGCGCGCGCGCGUGUGUGUGUGUGUAUACAUAUACAUACAUACACACAUCACAUUUUCAGGCAUUCAUCCGUGGAUGGACACUUAGGUUGUUUCCAUAUCUUGGCUAUGGUGGAUUUGCUGUAGUCAGCAUGGUGCAAGAUAUCUCUUCAAGAUAUUGAUUUUGUUUCUUUCAGCUAUAUAUCCUGGGAUUGCUGGGUCACCUGGUAGGUCUACUUUCAAUUUUUUUAGGAACCUCCAUACUGUUUUCCCUAAUGGCUGCACCCAUUUACGCUCCCACCAACAGUGUACAAGGGUCUGCUUUUCUCUACAUCCCCACCAAUCCUUCCCUGUUGUCUUUUUGGUAAAAACCACCCUAAGAGGUAUGAGGUGAUGUCUCCUUGUGGUUUUGAGUUGAAUUUCCCUGAUAACUCGUGAUGGUGAGCAUAUUUUCAGGUUCGUUUUGGCCAUUUUAUGUCUCCUUUGGAGAAGUGUCUAUUCAGGUCCCUUGUCCAUUUUUGAAAUUGGAUUACUUGUUCGCGUUUUGUUUUUGUUUUUGUUUUUGUUUUGCCAUUGAGUUACAGAAGUCCCUUCCUCAGUUUGAAUAUUAACCCCUUAUCAGAUACAUGGUUUGCAAAUAUCUUCUCCCAAUCCCAUAAGUGCCUUUCAUUUUGUUGAUGGUUUCCGGUGCUGUGCAGAAGCUUUUGAGUCUCGUGUAAUCUCACGUGUUUAUUUUUCUUGCUGGUGCAGCAAUCAAGGACCCAGUGACCUGGUGUUUGUGGUAAGUGUCAGACAUCGCACUACCUGUGGGUCUGAUACAAGGCACAGUCUGCCCCCAAAUAUAUAUGGUGGGCAUGUCUCAAUGCUUUAAGGACAGACAUUCAUGCAGGUGGAUUGAAACAGACCCAGAAACACUAUGCUUGAUGGAAAGAGGGAGAACAGUGCACCCCGCGAAGAGCGGCAACUUUUAGAAAGUCCGCGAAAUAAACAAUUCCAUGUCCACCUUGGACAAAUACUGCAGGACACGUGUUUCUCCCGGUGAAGACAGUGUCUACUUGAUUUUCAUCACCUUUCAAAGAAAAAGUGGUUCCCAUCAGCACUGUGUGAUUAUGAACCUUGCAGAUACACUUUAUUUGGCAGUGAAAUUUCUUUAAAAAUGAAAGUUGAUGGUGGGAGGGGGUAAGAAAUAGAAGAUUGGCUACAUGUACGCAGAAACCUAUCAAGAAGGAAAAAUGUUACUGGUACUACAUUAAAGCAGUAAUACAAAGCUACUGUUUUGCCUGCUCUCAAUCGAGAUGUUCACACAA
Felis catus (domestic cat) is the source of this 4327-nucleotide long non-coding RNA. RefSeq lists it as uncharacterized. The record is from RefSeq and is a predicted model, not a curated record. Lineage: Eukaryota; Metazoa; Chordata; Mammalia; Carnivora; Felidae. The transcript is spliced from 3 exons.